RNAcentral lists this long non-coding RNA (591 nucleotides) under Setaria viridis. Its description in RNAcentral is "long non-coding RNA (SVIR_LNC010381)". Lineage: Eukaryota; Viridiplantae; Streptophyta; Magnoliopsida; Poales; Poaceae. The record is from RNAcentral.
UUUGUUGGCUAAUCACUUUAGGGUCAAGAUGUCAUAUAUGUCCAUAAGCCAUAUAUCGAGAAAUUUCAAUCAAUAUCCAUCUCAAAAUCUAUCUUUUUGGAGCUGUCUUGCACCUAUUGGAACUUCCGACACAGUACUGGAACUUCCGAUACCCACUGGAAGUUUCCGAGAAGUCCCAACAGGGGUUCUCUAGAGAAUCUUUUCUCCCGUUGAAACUUCCGAUGGUUCAUUGGAACUUCCGACGGGUACCCAAGGGUUUAAAUACCCCUGAACCACCAGCCCUCAAACCCUAAUGUCUAUUUCUUCCAACCGACACCUCUCCUCCUUCUUCUCUUCACCAUUCGAGGGGAUUUCGAUUUCCAACCGUGUGAACUUGAAGCUAGUGACAUCUUUGGAUUCUCCACUCCUCGGAACCUCCAAUCCACCCUUUGAAUCAUUUGAUCCGCGUGGGAAAUCAUCGAGGUAAAUCAUUCAAAAAUCCCAUUGCCCGAUCUCUCAAUGCCCUAGGAGUUAGAGGUUUUUUUUUCUAGGGAUAGACUCCAGGUUCUUCUUAGAACUCAUGCCUAUGAUAUCUAGUGGAUUGGAUGGUUA